This 483-nucleotide long non-coding RNA is filed under the name Vigna radiata. Its description in RNAcentral is "long non-coding RNA (VRAD_LNC009261)". Lineage: Eukaryota; Viridiplantae; Streptophyta; Magnoliopsida; Fabales; Fabaceae. The record is from RNAcentral.
AGGAAGGGAGGAGCACUCCGUAAGAAGACCUUAAAAAGAAAUGGUCAAAAAUAAAGGAGGAGGGGGAGGAGCGCCAGUACAGAGGAAAAAAAAGUGUAAGCUUUGAGAUAUGAAAUGCAGGAAGGAGGAGGAAAGGUUAGUGCUUCAUUUUUAUUACUUAAUGGGUCGGCUUUUUUAAAAGCAAAAGAUUCUCACUGACAAAGGUAUAGUUAUAAAUAUAGAAAAAAAUAAGGAAGGUGUGAGUUGAACUAAGUGUGGUACAGGGUGAAGCACUCAAGAGUCACCUCUUAAUAUAUGAAUAUGUGAAGUGUGCUUAAAUUUUUUCUUUCAUGAGAUUAGUUUUGGGUUUUUCGGUUGCAUAACCUUUAAAUUUGUUUGUUGGUGAUUGUUAAAAUUAUAUAAUUCAUAGGUAGACUUGUAUAUUUUAUGUUUAAACCCUUGGAUCGUCCUCAUAUUUGUUGGGGAAUCUCAAGUGGGUCCUUG